Molecule: ribosomal RNA, 433 nt
Filed under: uncultured bacterium
Lineage: Bacteria
Description: partial 16S ribosomal RNA
Rfam family: Bacterial small subunit ribosomal RNA
Source: RNAcentral
AACGAACGCUGGCGGCAUGCCUAACACAUGCAAGUCGAACGAGACCUUCGGGUCUAGUGGCGCACGGGUGCGUAACGCGUUGGAACCUGCCCUUAGGUUGUGAAUAACUCCCCGAAAGGGGUGCUAAUACCGGAUAAUGUCUUCGGACCAAAGAUUUAUCGCCUUUGGAUGGGCCCGCGUUGGAUUAGCUAGUUGGUAGGGUAAAAGCCUACCAAGGCGACGAUCCAUAGCUGGUCUGAGAGGAUGAUCAGCCACACUGGGACUGAGACACGGCCCAGACUCCUACGGGAGGCAGCAGUGGGGAAUAUUGGACAAUGGGCGAAAGCCUGAUCCAGCAAUGCCGCGUGAGUGAAGAAGGACUUAGGGUUGUAAAGCUCUUUUACCCGGGAUGAUAAUGACAGUACCGGGCGAAUAAGCCCCGGCUAACUCCGUG